Callithrix jacchus (white-tufted-ear marmoset) is the source of this 6110-nucleotide RNA transcript. It is a transcript of the gene named CKLF like MARVEL transmembrane domain containing 8, with no coding region annotated. Lineage: Eukaryota; Metazoa; Chordata; Mammalia; Primates; Cebidae. The record is from RefSeq and is a predicted model, not a curated record.
GCAGCGUCCCCUCGCUCCUCUCCUCUUCCUCCAGGGCCCUAGCGCAGCCCGGGAGUCCGCGCACGGAGGCGCUAGGGGCGUCCCGCACUCGAGGGACACGCGCCGCGCCUGGACGGCCCCCGGCGGGCGCCCCCAGUGCACCCCGUGUCCCGCGCCUGCCGCGCUCCCCUCCCCCGCGUUGGUAUCCCGGGGGCCCAGGGCCGCGCGUCCCGGGGGACGCGCCAGUCCGGCCGUGGCGCGACGAUGGAGGAUCCGCAGCGCCCCCGCUCGCACACCGUCACCACCACCGCCAGCUCCUUCGCAGAAAACUUCUCCACCAGCAGCAGCAGCUUCGCCUACGACCGGGAGUUUCUCCGCACCCUGCCGGGCCUUCUCAUCGUGGCCGAGAUCGUUCUGGGGCUGCUGGUAUGGACCCUUAUCGCCGGAACUGAGUACUUCCGGGUCCCAGCAUUUGGCUGGGUCAUGUUUGUAGCUGUAUUUUACUGGGUCCUCACCGUCUUCUUCCUCAUCAUCUACAUAACAAUGACCUACACCAGGAUUCCUCAGGUGCCCUGGACAACAGUGGGCCUGUGCUUUAACAGCAGUGCCUUCGUCCUGUACCUCUCUGCCGCUGUUGUGGAUGCAUCCUCCGUCUCCCCUGAGAGGGACAGUCACAACUUCAACAGCUGGGCGGCCUCCUCGUUCUUUGCCUUCCUGGUCACCAUCUGCUACGCUGGAAAUACGUAUUUCAGUUUUAUAGCAUGGAGAUCCAGGACUGUGCAGUGAUUUAUCAUUUUGAUAAUUAAACGGAAAAAAAAAAGGAAGAAUCCCACUGUAAAUACAGCUCCAGUUGCUCCCUUCACAGGAAAAUCCCUUCAAGGCAUCAGCACACAAAAGAUUAUAAAUACAUGAAAUACGUCUGUAAUAGAAGGUAGACAUUUAGAAAUGCCAACUGAAGAUGUAGCCCCGGAUACAUUUCUCAAGCUGGGCUGAACCACCGUCGCUAGAAUGGUUGUGAAAUCGAAGAUCAGUUGUUAGCCUGUCUUUCUAAAACUAUAAUGGAGAAAAGUUGUACACACAAAAUAUCACUGCCACUGAAAACUGUUCAUGAGGGCUUUUCAGUAGAAAGUGUUUGGUGUAACUUUGAAUUUACAAAAGGCAGAGCAAACUUGAGUAGUAAAGAGUGGCAGGAUCAUGGGAUGAUUUUUUGUUUUUCUGUCUUUCUCCCAAUUUUCUCCAGUAAGGAUAAAAUACAUUCAUAAUCUCCAGUAAGCAUAAAAUACAUUCAUAAAUAUUUUUAACUAAAAAGCAAAAUAAAGCAGUAGUCUUAGCAGGUUGAAAAAAUCAGGAUCCUAUUUGUGGAAAAAUUUAAAUCUUCCAGCCUCUUUGCAAAGACAGACAAGCAGCCCAGGCAAUUGCAUGAGGACCACUGAGAGGACUGCGCCUAUUGCCUUUGUCUUUUUUUGUCUUGUUUUUGUUUUUGUUUUUUGGGAGGAAAUGUGGUCACCUUUGGUCGUCAUUUAUGAAAGAUUUCAUGGAUAAAGAAAGCAAGCUAAAUGUAAGGAAAUGGAUUUCAGUCUUUAAAGGUUACCAUCUACUCAAUGUCUGCCUGCCAGCAAAUCACUCUUACAAAUUUUCACCAACAAGAUUAUUGUGAAAAUUUACAUCUAUAGUUAUGUGUAGUAGGAAAAAAAAAAUGAGAAUUUACAUUUGCAUUCCUAGCCUACACGGAGAGAACUUCUUGUAGUCACUUUUUUUUUUUUUUUUUUUUUGAGAUGGAGUUUCACUGUUGUUACCCAGGCUGGAGUGCAAUGGCACGGUCUCGGCUCACUGCAACCUCCGCCUCCUGGGUUCAAGCAAUUCUUCUGCCUCAGCCUCCCAAGUAGCUGGGGCUACAGGCACGCACCACCAUGCCCAGCUAAUUUUUGUGUUUUUAGUAGAGACGGGGUUUCACCUUGUUGACCAGGAUGGUCUCGAUCUCUUGACCUCGUGAUCCACCCGCCUCGGCCUCCCAAAGUGCUGGGAUUAUAGGCGUGAGCCACCAUGCCCGGCCGCAGUCACACUAUUCUGCUGUCUUACACAAUUUCAGAACAUUCUUUCACCAUACUUAGAGACUGUAUAACAUGUAAUAGUCUUCCAUGGUUUCUUAAAUAGCACUGGACUUUAACUCUUUAAAAAUAAGGGAUAGCUGAGCAUGAUGGCAGUGCCUGUAGUCCCAGCAAUUUGGGAGACAGGCGAGACUGCUUGUAGCCAGGAAUUUGAAACCAGCCUGGGCAGCAUAGCAAGGCUUUAUCUCUACAAAAAAAGAAUUACAACAGAGAAAUUAGCCUAGUGUGGUAGUAGCACACGCCUAUAUUCUCAACUACUCGGGAGGCUGAGGUGGGAGGAUCGCCUGAGCCCAGGAGUUCGAGGCUGCAGUGAGCUCUGACAGUGCCACUGCACUUCAGCCUGGGCAGCAGAGCAAGACCCUGUCUCUAAAAAAUAAAUUAAAUUAAAAAAAAUAAGGGAUGAUGAUCAUUAUGAACAGUGUUGUAAUUCAGCAAAGUCCCACCCCAAAGGCCUCAUUCUUAAUUCCUAUGUCUACUUUUCAUAGAUGUACAGGCUCUUUCCUCACUGUCCAGACUGAUAGUACAGUCCCUCGUUUAUGAUCGUACAUCUCCUUCUGCAGCAGCCUAACCUCUUCUAGUGAAGGGUUCUUCUUUUUCACUAGACUUGUUGGAGUGGUAUAUAAAAUGAGAGCUGGCACGGGCUGAAGGGCAGCCUCUCCUGCAAGUUAAGGGCAUGAUCCUUAAUUCCUGAGCACUUAAACUUGGUCUUAACUAAACGUUUAAGUUUAGGGAGAAAAUGGUUGCUAAGUGCAAAUCUAAUAAGGGGGUAAACAUAAUAAAAUAUAUAAGGAACUCAAGAAAAAGACGACAUAAUUUUAAAAUGGGCAAAGAACCUAAACAGACAUUUCUCAAAAGAAGAUGGAGCAGUGUGAAGAGGAGGAGGCGAAGGAGGAGGUGAAGAGGAGGUGGACCCCCAGACCAACCGAAGCCCACGUGCCGCUGCAUCCCGCACCCAGCGCCUACGUCCCGCCGCCGUCACCACCAUGCCCAAGAGAAAGGCUGAAGGGGAUGCUAAAGGAGAUAAAGCCAGGGUGAAGGACGAACCACAGGGAAGAUCCGAGAGGCUGCCUGCUAAACCUGCUCCUCCAAAGCCAGAGCCCAAGCCUAAAAAGGCCCCUGCAAAGAAGGGAGAGAAGGUACCCAAAGGGAAAAGCUGAUGCUGGCAAGGAAGGGAAUAACCCUGCAGGAAACAGAGAUGCCAAAACAGACCAGGCGCAGGAAGCCGAAGGUGCUGGAGACGCCGAGUCAAGUGUGCGCAUUUUUGAUAACUGUGUACUUCUGGUGACUGUACAGUUUGAAAUACUAUUUUUUAUCAAGUUUUAUAAAAAUGCAGAGUUUUGUUUUACUUUUUUUUUUUUUUAAGCUAUGUUGUUAGCACGCAGAACACUUCAUUGUUGUUUUGGGGGAAGGGGCAUAUGUCACUAAUAGAAUGUCUCCAAAGCUGGACUGAUGUGGGGAAAUGACUUUCCCUUCUAGUUUUGAGAGACUUCCUCUUCGCUCCCAAGAGGAGGGAUUCCCUAAGUUUGACACACAUGGCCACCUUGGCACACAAAAGCCUUGUGGUAUGGAAAAACAAAUUCAUUUUCAUGUCCUCUUCUCCCUUUCUGUCUUUGAGCAUAGACUUAACUCCCUUAAGCCCAGACAUCUGUUGGGACCUGACCCCCAGUCAUUGGUUACAGUGUGUCAGGCAAUCUGGACUUGCCAGUGAUGCCAUUGAGAUGGCACCUGUCAAAAGAGCAGUGAUUCCAUUUCUAGAUUGUGGAUCUUCAGAUAAAUUCUGCCAUUUUCAUUUCACUUCCUGAAAGACAGGGUCGGCUCAUGAAAAGUUGUUAAACAACGUGCUAAAUGUGAACUGUCAACCCUCACUCUAAACUUUCCCUGUUCAGAGCAUCAGAUGAAGACUUCAUCGGGUUUUACAGUGGCUUUCUAAUUUUUGGUAGUCCAUCAAAGAAGGGAGUUUGAAAGUUGUUGUAUACUGUUAAUGAUUGUCUACCCAUGUCCUGCCUGAAAUACCAUGAUUGUUUAUGGAAAGUAUCUUUAAUAAAGCUGGAUACAGUUUGGCUUGGGAAAAAAAGAAGAAGAAGAUAUACGGGCCAUGUGCUGUGGCCCACGCCUGUAAUCCCAGCACUUUGGGAGGCCAAGGCGGGUGGAUCACGAGGUCAAGAGAUCAAGACCAUCCUGGCCAACAUGGUGAAAUCCCAUCCUAAAAAUACAAAAAUUAGCUGAGCGUGGUGGUGCAUGCCUGUAGUCCCAGCUACUCGGGAGGCUUAGGCAGAAGACUUGCUUGAACCCAGGAGGUAGAGGUUGCAGUGAACCGAGAUUGUGCCACUGUACUCCAGCCUGGCGCCUGGCAAUGAAGCGAGACUCUGUCUCAAAUGAAAAAAAAAAAAAAAAAGAUAGACAAAUGGCCAACAGGUAUAUUAAAAAAUGCUCAGCAUCACUAAUCACCAAGGAAAUGCAAAUCAAAACCACAAUGGGAUAUCACCUUUCACUUCUUAGAACAGCCAUUCUCAAAAAAAAGAAGAGUACUGGCAAGGAUAAGGAGAAAUGGGAACCUUGCACCCUGUGGGUGGGAAUGUAAAUUAGUAAGGCCAUUAUGGAAAACAGGAAGUUCCUCAAAAAAUUAAAAAGAACUACCCUAUGAUCCAGCAAUCCCACUGCUAGGUAUAUACCCAAAGAGACUAACUCAGCAUGUCAAAGACGUAGCUACACUUCAUGUUCAUUGCAGCGUUAUUCACAAUAACCAAGAAAUGGAAGCAACCUAAAUGUCCAUCAACAGAUAAAUGGAUAAAGAAAAUGUGGGCCUGGUGCUGUGGCUCACGCUUGUAGUCUCAGCACUUUGGGAGGCCAAGGCAGGCAAAUCACAAGGUCAGAAGUUCGAGACUAGCCUGGCCAACAUGGUGAAAACCCAUUUCUACUAAAAAUACAAAAAUUAACCGGGUGUGGUGGCAGGCGCCUGUAAUCCCAGCUACUUGGGAGGCUGAGGCAGGAGAAUUGCUGGAACCUGGGUGGUGGAGGUUGCAGUGAGCCAAGAUUGUGCCAUAGAGAAAAAGAGAGAGAGAAAAAAAAGAAAAAGAAAAUAAAUAAAUAUGGGCAUACAGUGGAAUGAUGCUUCACUUUAAGAAAAAAAUAAAGGAGAUCCUGUCAUUUGCAACAAGGAUGAACCUGGACAGCAUUCUGCUAAGUGAAACGUCAGGCACCAGAAAGACAAAUCCUGCACGAUCUCACUUAUAUGUGGCAUCUAAAGAAGUCACACUGAGAAGCAGAAUAGAAUGGUGGUUGCCAGGGGCUGAGGGGACACGAGAGGAAUGCUGGUCAAAGGGAACGAAGUUUCAGAUAGGGAACAAGCAAGCUUAAGCCUUAGUUAAAAGGCUUUUGUCAUUGUUUCCUUUUAGUUGUUACUAUAACAUUUACAGUCUUAUAUUUACAUUCACAAAUAAGGCAAAGCGAUAUUCCCAAGUUUUAAGGAUAAACAGUUUAAUUUUUUUAAAACAAUGCUUUUGAUAUUUUCAGAAUGAGUAAGGGAUUUGUUUUCUGAAAGAAUUUUUGAUUGGUUCUGAAUGCAAAAGGUAAAUGGUAUAUUGGUUUGCUGGCACUGCCAUUAACACAGCACCACAGACUGGGUGGCUUCAUGAACAGAAACCUACUUUCUCACAGUUCUGGAGGCUCAAAGUGCAAGAUCAAGGUGUCGGCAGAUUGAGUUUCUUCUGAGGCCUCGCUCUCGGCUUGCAGAUGGCCACCACCUCACUGUGUCCUCACUUAGUCGCCCUCUCACUGCGUCACCUGUUCCUAAUCUCCUCUUCUUACAAAGACACCAGUCAUAUUGAGUUAGGGCACACCUUAGCAACCCCAUUCUAACUUAAUGACCUAUUUAAAGGCCCUGUCCCCAAACACAGUCAUUCCUAGGUACUGAAGGUUAGGACUUUGGUAUAUGAAUUUGGUGGCGGGCCAGGGAGGCACAAGUCAGCCCAUAACAAACGGCAAUGUGCUCUCGCUCUCGCUCCCGCUCGCGCGCGCGCGCGC